CUUCCUCCAUGCAGACAGCAGUAGGAUGGCUGGAAGGCUUGGUCUAAAAAUUAAAAAAAAAAAGAUAGAUGAAAGUGUGGAGAUAAUAGAGAAGACGGGUAGUGGUACUAGGAUUAGGACCUCUCUUAGAUUUAGUGGAAGGAAUGCUAGGGUUAGGAUCUCCAAUAGUCUUUUUGAAAUGUGGACAAGAGAUCUAUGGAGGACUAUGGUGGC
Molecule: long non-coding RNA, 213 nt
Filed under: Elaeis guineensis (African oil palm)
Lineage: Eukaryota; Viridiplantae; Streptophyta; Magnoliopsida; Arecales; Arecaceae
Description: long non-coding RNA (EGUI_LNC009029)
Source: RNAcentral